Molecule: non-coding RNA, 17477 nt
Organism: Monodelphis domestica (gray short-tailed opossum)
Lineage: Eukaryota; Metazoa; Chordata; Mammalia; Didelphimorphia; Didelphidae
Source: RefSeq, a predicted model, not a curated record
GGGUGGCACAUUGAAUGAGGGAACACUGCCUGGGGAGAGGCAGUAUGGGAGGGGGAAGUGGCUCCACAGUCUGAGGGGCCUCAGAAGUAGUGGGCCCAGAUGCUCAGAUUUACUCAGAAUUUAUAGGGUUACAACACAAUGCCAUCUCCUCUGUCCCAUCAUCUGAGGGUUUGUCUAUUUCUUUAUCUCGUCCUAUCCUUCUUCCUCUUUCAUCUUUCCCGUCCUUUAUUUUCUCUGCUUUUGUAUCCUGGCCUUCCUCUAGCCUCCUUAAUCUUUCCUAAUGCUUCUGAGUUGAACAUGAAAUGUUAUAUUUCUUUAUCUUGUAGUAUUCCUUAGGUUUGCCAUUUCUCAGUUGAGUCAGAUUUCGUUAUAAUAUUCCUUGGGUAUCAACAUUCAGUCUAUAAUAUUUCUUCGUCAAGGUUAUAACGUGUAAGUUUCGAGAUUUCUCUCAUGGAAUUUUGGACACCCAAACUUCUUCCUAAAAGGCCCGUAUAUAGAAAGCUAUUCGGGGAGGGGGAUUCCUCUACUCGUUGUGGGAGAUGAGAUUCAGUGGCUAAUUCUCAGAGUAGUAUGUGGCAUGUAACGCCAAUCCAAGACCCCUUAGUGUUACUAGUCCUUAGAUUAAAACUGUCUGCCUCCUGGGAAAUUAGAACCGGAUACCCCCAACACUACAAUCCCUGGCAAAAACUACAAUUCCGAGAACAGAACCCCACUCCCUUCUUGUCGUUAAGUGCUAACACAGAACGUAAAUUGGGUGGAAUUCCCUGUCUAGCUCUCUUUUCCUUCCUGUCAGCAGCUUUGGUGGAUCGAGCAUUUUGAGCAGGUAGAAAACUUAGUCAUGUGGCUCUAUUUUGUCAGAUAACAAACUUCAUAAAAGAAUAUCUGAACUAUUGGACAAUGAUUUAACUCUUACCCCCCCCCCCCAACUCCAUAAAAUGUCUAGUUUUCCUAUUUUCAAAAACCUUGAGAAGAGUUUAUCUGUGCCAAACUAUGAGAUAACCGAAGGAGGGAAAGUACAGGGAGUUUCAGAAGUAUCCUUAUGGGUCCCAGCCAGGGAAUCCCAUGACAGUCAUGGGUUUUUCUGGAAAAUGGGGGACUUUCGGGGUACAUCAUGUUGAAAAUCACACACUCGAGACUAUAAACAUCCCAACCACCCCUUCUGUGGGAUUGGCAGAGGGGAGGAGGGGAAUCUUGGGUCAGGGUUAUGAUAAAAGUCUGUGAUUGUACAUAGAAGAAGAGAGGUCAUUUUUGCCUCGAGCAGGCCCCUUGUGAGGGCAGAAUUCCUUUUCCUCCCUUCCCACCUCCUCCCUGCUGUCCACUAUUUUCUCCCAAUGAAGCCACUUUUCUCUGCCAGCAUCUUAUCACGUCUCCUGUCUGCUCAUUAGAGUGAUUUGGGGGGGGGGUAUGAGCCCCCCCUUGAAUUUCACUCCACACAUCUUCAAAAGGAGAGAUUGAUACCUCCUAGCAGAAGGCAACUAGUUUUACUAAUUUUCUAUAGGAAAUUGCCAUUCUGUGCUCUUCUACUAAUACUACAUCAAUGUAUACUGGGGAAUAAUGCACAAUUUCAUGUCACGCACAAGUAAAUUGAGAAAGAAAAGGAAAAGUGUUUUGUCUGGCUGCUUCUAAGGAAGCACUAAUCAAAAAGGGGAUUGGAUGGAGGAAGAAAAUGUCUCUGCUGUUUCUUGUGAGGAGAUAGGCCUCUUUUCUCUCUCCCCUGAAGGGCUUAGCUGAACUAAUCUAUAUAAGAGAGUUACAAGGAUAAUUGAUCCAAAAUUAUCACUACUACUAUUAAUCCUAAUAUGAACUUUUAAAGAUGGGAUUGACUCACCCCUUGCCUACUUUUAAAUUUAAUCAACAAAAGCUUGAACACCCAUACUUGGCACUAGGUGGUGGAGCUAGUAAGUCACUUAGAGAGUUCCAUCCUUUCAACUCAAUCAGCCAGAAACUUGUGAAUCCUUUGUGAUGGGUUUACACCCUCAUAGGAAGAGAGGUGUAGCUUACACACACCACCCUCCUGGGCAGUGUUAAGCAAACUUAAAGACUGCAAUUGGUCCCUGUAAGGUGGAGGAAGGGACAGGAAAUUUUGUAAAGAACAAUCCAUAAAAAGGACCUAAUCUUCCUAUCAGGAAGUCUUUGAAGUCUUCCACCUGAAUCUGGAGUGUGGAGGAGCUUGGACUUCUUCUGAGGGCUUCAUCCUGAAUUUUCAGGUUGGAGGAUCUUCUCCUUUGGGACUUCACUUUGAGACUUUGGUCUUCAGCUUCAAUUGGACUUGGAACUCUGACAUCUUGAACUGUUUCUGGUGCAUACAAAAUUUCACCUUCUAAGAGGAAUCUACAAUAGUUAGAGAUAAGAGGGAAAUAGAAGAGAGAAAGUAAAACCGAUAUUUUGCUGGCCGCAUUGACAAAAACCAAUUGGGGGCAGUCCCCUUUUGGCAUAAGAGUGUACAUUCAAAAUAAAUGUUCAACCCCCUUCAGUUCAAUCAACUGCACCCCAAAAUUCAUUCUGGAUCUUCUUGCUGCAUUGUAGGUUUUGCAAGCAUCUUUUUGCAAACAGUUCAUUCUCUGGAUUUUAAAGAGUUCUUUCCCUGAAAACUUUUUUCUCGAACAAAAUUUUAAAUCUUGGUUUUUGUGAAAAUACAAUUCCUCCUGAAGAGGGUGUUGACAAACACCCAGUUCAGCUCAGGAUGCAUGGUUGAGUUCUGGGGUAUAUGAAUCAAUUAUCAAAAGAAAUAAAAGAAAAACAAAUGGAAAAAAAUUAAACUUUUUUGGAAGAAAUGAAAUUCAAAAUCAAAAUCAAAAUAUAAAAAAAAUCUAUGUAUAAUGUAAAGAUUAAAAUUUAGGGAAACUGAGGCAGGUAGAAAUUAGUUUCCCUCUGCAAGGAAUAUUAUAUUUUUAUGAGGUUUAUUAAAGGUUGAGAAUUUAAGAAAAAUACAAAUAAAAAAGGUACGUGCUAGGUGGACCGAGAGGCCCAAUUCAAUUUCACUCACAUCAUGAGAGAUGUCUGCUUGGGAGCAGAAGUAGGAAAAAGGGAAGAGAGACCCCGCCUAUGGUGGAGACCCUUUAAAUCAUAGUUUAGGUGAGAAUUCAGUAAGAUUACAAAGCAUUCUGGGGAAGUGGAGCAAGGACUUCUGGGGAUUGAAGUCCUGGAUUCAAGUCUCCAUUUUUACAAUAUAAAACUUUGAGUAAACAAGAAUAAAUUCACAAUAGGCCCUUGUAUUAGGGUCCAAUUAAAGUAAUUUCUAUCCCACAAGCCUGUAAGGCAAAAUGCAGGAAUAUUUCACUUGCCCAUUUGCAUCCAAGGCUAUGAGAAGUUGCCAUACUAUAAGAGAGAAAAAAGGACUAAAUUUUUGUGUGAUAGGGAAGUGUCAUUCCCUGGUCUGAUUUUACCUUCACUCUCAGGGAUAGGGGGAGCCAGGAUGAUAGCCAAACUCCGGUACUUGUCUGUGAGUAUUUCACAAAGAGUGUAGUACAAACUGUGUCCUACAUCUUAACAUGUCAAGCGCAGCAGCCUCGAAUCUCACACUGGCUGUUUAAUAAAUAUAGGGGUUUAAUAAAAUAAGUGUAAAGUAUAUAACAACUUAAUUCCAACUUAGAAGCAGAAGAUGUGAUGUAAUUUGGAGAAAAUUCUGUGUGAUCUAAAUGUGGGUUGACAAAUGAGAAUGUAAAAAUUUAUUUUAGAAUAGGUGCUGUUGAAUUAAACAAGUGAAAAUUUAAUGAACAUUGGGGAAAAAAGUUUUAAAACUUGUAAGUUUGAAGUGAUAUGGAACCUGUAAAAAGUUUUGUUAAAAGAAUUUCUAAAUUUGUAACUGAUUGGGAUGUAUGAAUUGUUUCCAAUGUAUGUACCUUGGGUAAAAAUGAUUUUAUUACUGAAUUCAAAUAUGAAUUUAAACGUAAUCUAUUUGACUGUGGGAUGUAAUUUUAGGUAAACACAAAUGAUUUAUUAUUUUGUACUAUGAACUAAACUAAUCUUUGAGGUGAAUUGGAUAAGACAAUAUGUAAAGAUAUAUAUAAAUGAUGAUAAAAUUGAUAAAGGGAUUAAUAAAAACAGGUAACAGGAUAUCUGGUGGAAGAUGAGAGAAAUAUAGAAGCAUAUUAAAGACAAGGUGUAGGAGGUGUAAUACUGAAAGUUAAUAUUUAGAAAUUGAUUUGUGUAAUGACUAUUUGUGGAUGGUAUUAGUUGGUCUUGAGGAGGCUAUUGUUUGUGAGCAGAUGAGGUGAUGAAAGAUAAAAGUCUAGAUGGAGUGACUCCUACAGUGCUCUCUCUCACUCUUCCUGGGGUUAUAUAAAGGGUAUAACUCAGGAAAUUGUAAUUCCACUGUUAUAAGUAAGCAAUGGAAAGUUGAAGAGAAGUCUCCCCUAUUGGGUGAUGGAAAGGGUACCCCCAAAUUCCCAAGCAUGGGUAGCCAAGAAGACAAGCCUCUUCCUUGUCUGCUGACUCAGUGGGGAAGGGGUCUUGACCAGCACUUGCAAUGGCUGAUCAGUACCUUGGAGCAUAGCUCCCUCAAAGCUCCUUUGAAUAAAUCCCCUUUUUGUAAUAUCUUACUGCAAUCGAACAGUUUAACAAAAUACUGGAUAUUAGGAAGUGGGGGGUUGGUUUGAGGGUAGCGGUGUCCCUAACUUCUAAGUCCCUUCGAGGUCCUUCAUUCUGUAAGCUUCAGAGCCACAUCAGAACUUCUUCUCACCUCCCAACUAAUUCAAGCUAAAUUAAAAUACUAAAGGGGUCAGGAUAAAGGUAAGGCAAGUGCAAUUAGGAUAAGAGAGUCCCAGGUCCCUCACAGAUCCGAUGAGACCUGAAUCUCUUUGUUGAUGUUAUUAGAGAUAUCAGGAUGUAGCAACAUGCUUCUGGAGAAGUCACAGGGCUAUUUUCUUGGAUGUCCUUCAGUUGGCUCUUGACAAAUCUCUAGCAAGGUAAAUCGCUUCCUUUCACCUUGAGAUCUAAUCUCAAAAAUCAGACUUCCUCUCGGAGUUCUCCCAGGUCCCCAUUCUUCUCCCAUGAUCCUCUUCUUCCAACGUUCUUUGGCCGUCAAUCAUGCCUUCUUCCAAAGUUCCAUCCUUACUUUUGCAUCCUGCACUUACACCCUCCCAAGGAAGGGGAGGGAUUUUGUCAGUCAGCUUCUAAAGCUUAUAAAAUAAGUGUCUUCGCAUUUAGGCACAGAGGGUUCUGAAAUCCUCUGGCCAUGUGUGCAGAAAAUACCACUGAUUGGGGGCAGCUGGGUAGUUCAGUGGAUUGAGAGUCAGGCCUAGAGAUGGGAGAUCCUAGGUUCAAAUCUGGCCUCAGACACUUCCCAGCUGUGUGACCCUGGGCAAGUCACUUGACCCCCAUUGCCUACCCUUACCACUCUUCUGCCUUGGAGCCAAUACACAGUAUUGACUCCAAGAAGGAAGGUAAGGGUUUAAAAAAAAUCAUGCGGCAGUGGCCACACCUCAGGCCGGCUAAACCUUGUGAGGGUAGCCAUCAGGUCGUAGACCCCUGGUGAACUAAGGCUUUGCUCACCCAGCAUGUGAAGACUGUUUCGGCUUCAUAAACCUUAUUCAAGUUCUGGUUCUGGGGCACAUCUGUUCUCCUGCCGUGAACAAUAUUCUCCUGAGGAACUGGGGUGUUCUGGUCUUGAGGGGAGCAUUCCUACUCAUCCUCACUCUGCUUCUGGAGGACUUUCCAUUUCUCCCUCAGAGCCAUUCAUGGGGUGACUAGUUAAUUCAAUCACUAUUCCAGUUCUCCAGUUCAGUGGUGCUACCCUCUCUGGGCAUCACUUCACCACUUCACUUAAGACAGGUGGGAUGGCAGGAGGAGGCAGGAUUUCAAGUGGAAUCCAUAACUUUUCUCUCUCUGUAUAGAAUUCUGAAUUCUUCUCCUCCUCCUCCUGCAUGUCUGUCCCUUCCACUGCUUCUGCAGUUUUAUUCUUGUUUCUUCUUGCUCUAUUUGUUUUGUUCCAAAGCAUAAUCUCGAAUUGUCCACAAAAUCCAGAAUUUCUAUUAAACUCUAAAAACUUCCAUCCUUUCACAGACUGCUCUCUGGCACAAUCUAUUCCUUUUCUUGGCCAACUGCCCAGAAACAUAUCCUUUCCUCUUGCUUUUCUUAGAAAAAAGGCUUUAUUGGGUUUCCCAGGAGUCACCCUGAGAACUGCCCCUAAGCAUGACCCCCCCCCAGAUUUCCAAUAAGAUCACAGCUCAGAUUCAAUCAUCAUACUUGCUAGAUCUCCAACCCAGCUGCUCAAAGCAGAGGGGUCUCCCCUCCAAGACACAAACAGCUCAGAUUACAUAAUCAUAUUUGCUAUCUGAUAGGAACCUAGAAGAGACUGGAGAUUUCUCUUUCCGUGGGUUUUUUUACUACAGACUUUACCUGAAAGGCUCCUCUCCACCCAGGGUACUCAACUUCCUUAUCUUGAGGAAUCUUUUUGGCCUGAUUCCCUUAACUGGAAGCUCUCUCUCUCUGACUUAUCUGUUUCUUAAAGUCACCCACGUUUACAAGCACUGCACUGCUUUCGACUUAGCCACUUUUCUCUAACUUUCACACAAGCUUAAAGAAAGUGGGGCGCACCUCCCCACUCUCCCUGAUACUCAAAUAAAUGGUCUCCGUGGAUGUUGGUUCGAAUCUUUUCUCUUGCUUCUAUUGGUCCUUAUCUACUCUUUCGUUCAUAUGAUUUCUCAGAAGUGUAGAGAAGGCUUCAGAUUUGCCCAGAUGAGGCACUUCGAUUGUUCGAGAAUCCCAGACAAGCUGAGAUCUGUGUGGAGUGGGUUUUGGGGGGGAUAGCACCCCCAGAAAUCACUCUAAUGAGUAGACAGAAGAUUCUGAUAAGAUGGUGCCAGGGUGCAGCCUUUAGUAAAGAAAGAGCAGACAGCAAGGGGCAUCGCCAAUUUUUACCUCUAUCAUGUCCACUGGCUUACAAGAAGAAUCCGUAGAUUCUAGGAAGUCUAUACAAUGGUACCCUGACUAAUCAUCUGUGUUUCUUAUUUGACACACUCCUUAUUCCUUUUCAGUUCCCAGCUAGUUGAGUCAGGUUUCGGGAACGUACAAGGCCAGAGCCACGGUCUUCCUAACAAUUUUAUGGAAAGAAGUUUUAUUCUCAUGGGAGAUUCUCUUACCAUAGAUUUAGGUUUACGGGCUUCAUUUUCUUAACCCUUGAAAUGCUGAUUGCAAGUGUAAUAAGGGAAUUCACUUUGCACCUUCCCUUGCUACACAAGUCAAUUGAGAAAGAAAAAAAAAAGGAAAGGGAUUUGUCUGGCCUCUUUUAAAGAAGUACUGAUCAAAAAGGAGAUUGGAUCAGGGAAGGGUCUCUUCACUUCAGGGAGAGGAUGUCUCUAUUGUUUGUUAUUAGAGAUAGGCUUCCUUUUUCUCUUACCCAAAGGGUCUAGCUGAGCUAUUCUAUAUAGGAGAGUUACAGGGAUAAUUGAUCUAAAAUGAUCAUUACUACUAUCAAUCCUAAUGUGAAUCAUUAUUGUGAAAAAUGCACUACUGAUUUUUUUUUACUCCAUUACAGUGCUUUUGGCUCCCAGUUUCCCUUUCUCUUAUCCUUGCCUCAAGCCACUUUGGCCUAAGGCUAAAUUUGUUGGGUCAGUUUAAAAUGUUCGGGGUUUCCUUACAUUUAAAGCUCUGCCUUUUCCCCAUUAUUUCUUGUCAUUCACACCAAUCCAGUGACCAGUCAGGUCUGCAGUUGACCAUCCUAAAAUGAACUUUCUUCACUCCAGAACUCACACAUCUUGCUAUUGGAAAAUGAUUAACAGCUUGAAAAAGUGAAGUGAGAGCCCUCAAAUAAUCUGGUUAGUACCUAGAAUAAAAUGCACCUUGUUACUAAUAUCAACUGCGCUUGAUACCCAAUAUUUCACCCAUUAACAAGACCAAAACUUUGGGAAGAAAAAUGAGACCUUAAAGUUAAGAAUUUCUGGACCUCCUUUUGCCUCCUGCUGGAUCGCCAGCUCUGGUCUCGCCUCUUCAGCUUUUGGGAGGAAUCCAUUAACACAACUUACAGACAUUAUUUGCUAACAUUUAAAUCACCAGCAUUUGAUUAUUAGCGAAGUCUCCGCCUAAGGAAUCCAUUAGACAUAAAAUACAAGCAAAAGCCCACAGAAAAAUGAGAAGAAAUCCAGAACUCAAGUUCUUAAGCUUCUAUGAGAAACUUUUUGCAAAACUUUGUAACCAUUUAAACCUCAAGCCAUUGUAUCUCAAUUCAUGAAGAAACUUUCUCUCUUUUAGUCAACUUAAAGCAGUUACUCAGACCCUCAAUUGAACACUCAGGCUGUCACACUCCAACUCGAGUUUCCCAUUCAAAGCUUUCAGGCAGCCUUUCACUCGUCUGACCAGCUCUCCUGGCCCUCACCUCUCUCUGGUUCUUCCCAGUCUCCCGUUCUGGACCGUUCUGACCUGGUUUUUCUUCGGGUGCAUUCCUCCAGCCUUUGGUUGAAGACUUCUUCAAUCUCGUGACCUGCUUUGCUUAAAACAAACUGCAGAAACAAUUAUCUUUUCCUCAUUAAAUGAACCCCACCUUGGCCAGCUUCCCUUUGGAUUGGCCUUUGUCAUCGCUUGCCGCUUCUCUAAGUACUUGUUUGCAUCAGGUCCAUACUUCCAAACCCUGUAACUCGAGGCCGUACUUCUAGGUGGUUCUUUGGGCUGCUGACCGCCCUCACCAAAUUUUGGGACAGCAGACAAGCUGUUACCCAUGUCCAAUAGCGCCCGGGUGGCUAUGGACCAUGCGGCUGUGUACCCCACAGACGCUCAACUAAGGAUCCCUUAAUUAAAGAGCGAGUUACCCCCAAACACGAGAUGCGAGUCCUACCUCCGAGAGAGCCACUUACCUGGCCCUGCUAACUGGACUCCCAACCCAACCCCAAACGGGUUGUGUGAGGUACCUCAAGUCUGGGGUCCUUGUCAGCAGGUGGGCUCAGACAGCGGGGACUUCGGAUCUCGCUGGGGCCUCCAUUAAUGUCAACUAGAAAAAACACAGAACUAUUAAAUAGUCAAAAAUCACUCUUUAAUCAAGGGAAAAGGGGUUAGUGCUACUAAUGUGACAACAGAGCUGUUUUCCAAGACUGCACAGAGUCAAGACGCCCUGGUCACCAGCCCCUGGGAGUGCCACCGACUCAGGAAGGACUCCGAGGAACAAAAGAAAUUGGGGAACCUAUAUACCACUCUAGAUGACCUGGGGGGUUAGGAUUAGAGGGACAGUUGAUUGACUUUACAAUGGUAAGAAAGGAAAAUGAAGAGUUCCAGACAGGAAUAACAGAGCGAGGGGCUGAUGCCCCACAAUGGACACAAAAGGGAAAGACUCAGCCCAGGGCUGGGUCACCUUGGUCAUGGACCUUAGCCUAAGGGGAGAAACCAUUGGGACAAAAGGGAUGUUCAAUAUUGGAUGGGAUUAGCUGUUCCCACCCAAACUACCAGGAAGUUCACUGUCUGAUGAAGAGGGGCCUUCCCUCAGGGGGAAACUCUCCUGUGACAAGGUCAAAACCUGGGGCUUCUACACUCAAACUAAAUAAACUGGGGAUCCCUAGAUUUCCAUGUUGACAAUAGCAUCAUAGCAACUGAGGUUCCAAGUUCUAUCACUAACACUGUAAUUGGAUAGAAGGAAACUUUAAUACUGAGAUAUAAUAAGCAUGAAUUGGAAUAUGAUUUAAAGGAAUUACUUAUGCUUUCUAAUUUUAACUAUGAAGGAAUUAUUAACACUUUUCUAAGCAGGACAUAAAGCAACAAGAUAAAUAUUGAGCAGAGAUUAUGUAAACAGCCUGUCUGCAGUUCAGAAACUUUUUAGUAGGCAUAUUACUAUACCUGUAUCCAGAAAGCAAAUGAUUUAUAACUAGACUAGCUUUUACUAUGGAAAAAUAAGACAUGUGCUCAGCAGAGUGAAAGCAUGGUUAGAAGGAUUCAAUAUGUUUACCAGUGGUUAAUUAUUAAAGUUAUCAAGAAAUCUGUUACUCAGUACAGUGAUUUAUUAAGGAUUUGAAAGAGGCAAUACUAUCAUUUACUCAAAUUACAGAUAUUGAAGCUGAUCAUGACAUUGAAAGGAGACCCAUGAUAAUCAUGCAAAUUCAAAGGUUACUGGCACAAUAUGAUCUAUUUCUGCAGGGAAGAUUUGCAGAGUUAGCAGAUGAAAGUAAUGAUUUUAGUCACAGUAUCAAGAUCUUUUCAGUUAUGCAGUUAAUUGCAGUAGUUCAGGAAUAACAACUCCUGUGCAACUGUUUGAUAAUUCUGUGCAUAUUUUUCCAGCGUAAGACAAUGCUAUAACUUUAAUAACUGCACAAUGGGAAUUUUUUCAAAAAGCAAACAUUGUGUGCAGGCAGACAAAGGUUUAAGAUCCCAGCACACGUGGGUCAAAUCAUAAGUGAUUUAUAGUAUGAUGUUUUUAUGAUUAUGGGUUUGAAAAAGCAAAUGUUUAAGCAUCUAUACAUGCUGUUUUGCAAAGUCAAAGGUGAAACUGCUGUUUUGAGCAAACAGCUGCUAACAUUCUCUGCUCUAGCAGAGGGCCAGAUCUAUGGUACAUCUAUAUCCUGAACAAGCAGGUGAUAUUGCUUAUCAAUGCAAACUGUGGGGGAUUAAUUUCACCCCUGAUAGAUAUCCACUGUAUAUUCUGGAGCAAAAGGUGCAUUUCAGCAUGCUCCUGGCACAAAGGCUGAACUGUGAAAAGUGAUGGGAGAUACUUACUCUCCUGGUUUAGGGUUCAAGCUCAAACGAAGAAGUGAGCAAAGUGAUUACAGAUUCUAUAAAUAUCUGUGCACUACUGUCUACUCCACACAGCUUGGAAUAGCAGGGCUUUUAACAGCAAUGCAAGGGCUAAAUUGCAUAGCUCAUGGCUUACAUGCAAGCUAUGGUAAAUAGAGCUCAAAGGAAUUCAUGAGCCCCAAGGUUCAUAACUGAAGGGAUAUCUGUUCUGUCACUUUCUAACUCUCUGAGACCCAAUGAGGCUUUCAUUUGGGGUCGAGGUCUUGUUUGUAUGUUCACAGAUAAUGAAAACAUCUGGUCACCCACGUCAUGCUUCAUGCCAGCUGAUACAGACCAGGAAGAGAAGCAGACGGACCCUGUUGGCAUCAGCUAUCUGCAUGCCAGCCACAAUCCAGGCACACUGGAGGGACACUUCUCUGGUGACUAAUAUCACUCCAGAAUGAUGACAUUACACUAUUAGAGACAUUUGCUAUUAGACCACUGAUGGACACUUGUCAUGCUGACAUCCAUUGAGAUGUGGUACCCGGAGCAACAUCGAGUAUGCUAACUCAGAAGGACUAAAUCACACUUGUGUCUGUACAAGACACCAGAUAUGUCCCACACUCCAAAGACUUUACUAUGGGAUUGAGAUGAAAUAGCUACAAUUGUUUAGCUACUAAAGUAUACCUUGUAUUUUAUAUAUGAUACUGUCAAAAGGAAUGUAUACUGUAUGCAUUGUGAAUCUACCACUUGUAUUGUAAGAAAUGCUGUUAUCCAACAAGGGUACAGACCUUGGUAUGACUCUCCAAAGAGUAGGAGACAGACAACUUUCAUUCAUAGCAUAGAUCUGAUGCCUCUGACAACACAAAUGAGGUGCAAGGCAGAAAAUGCUGCUCACUCAUGGUUAAUGGACAGAUGACACUGAUGUUACUCUCAAGAAAGGAUGAGAGAUCAGGGAAAAGACACUAGGAAAUCUUUAAUCAGGAACCUGAGUUAUUGUAAAAGAUCAUUGACAUCCAGGCAAAGGUUAUGUUCCUGACAAUACCAGGAUGGACAUUACAUACUGACUACCAGAGAUGUAGUUAAGUGUUCAUACCAUCGUUAACCAUUACUCCUGAUACCCUGUCUUUGUGGGUAAAAUCUUAAUAGGAAAAAUUUCUUGCUCUCUCCCAACAGUCCCAGAAUUCAGACGGCCGCUGGAUUCGGGGUUUAUUGGCUUCCCUUUCAUAUACUGGAAGACAUUCUGGUAUAUGGAAGUAAGACCUCAGGAGCAAACUGAGGACUCUAGGUUUGACAAUUUCUGUGGACGCGCAGUCAUUGUCUCUCCUAGGUGGAAAAAAUUAUUAUUGCACAAAAACAUGGAGCAAGGGCAAAGUAUAAUCUAAGUUUUACUGUUUUGGAGUAUGGAUGGAAAACAUGACACGAUAGGCACAGAUAAGCUUGUAGAAAAAGCACAUUGGAUAUUAUACACUGACAACUAGGAAUGAAAAAGCUAUGUCAAAUUCUAUAGGUACAAGAAACUGUAGAAAUUGUUUCUACGUGAACAACAACUUAAGCUUCUAUUUACCCAAACAUUGGUUUGGUGGAAUGAAUUUUGCAAUAUUGGUAAUGGUAUAUGCUUGGUUAUCAUAUUGAUGGGUUUAUUUGUACAAGCAGAGAUUUAAAUAAGGAUGACACAAGGAAUAUGCAGUCAGAACUUGAAAUAUUACUUCAUUAUCACCAUCAUGGUUAUUUAAGCUACAAAUCAGAAUGUAAAGUGUAUGGGAAUAUUGGUAUUUGUUAAAAAUUGCACAGUGAUGUAUUAAUGUUUUUGCAAGGCCUGUAACGGUGCAAAAUUAUGUUCAUAUACAAGGCGAAUUUUGAUCUAUUUAGAUCAGGAAUUAGGAAUCAUUUGGGAUAUAAGUUCUGAUAUUUCACAUUGGCUCAGUUUCAAAGAUACCACAUAGACAGUGAGCCAAGAGUCUAGAAUUUUGUAUUAAUUUUGGGAUCAGGUUGCCAGGAUCAUUUUCUAAGAUCAUUUGGCAUGUGAUAACAUGGUCCUCCAGAAUUGUUCAGAGAGGAUGUCUUUCUUUGAAGGGAUCUCUCCCAACACACAAACAAAAAGAAAAGGGAGAAGAAUCUUAUAGAGAUCAGUAUGUUCAUUUUAGAGAACACUUUUGAUUCAUUUUCAAGUAUUCAACUUUGAUUUUUUCUUUUGCUCUAUUAUUGCCAGAACUUUGAGUACAAGGAAAGUACUGUUAAUGCUCUGAUCCAGAAUUAUGAAGGUGCAAAGAUUUCUAUAAUUGCAGUCACCUAACAGUCGGUAAACAUGAGAACAUGACAGCAAUUGUUAAUUUUCAGAUGACCAUUCUGGAGAGUGAUGUCUGAUUGCAUGUAAGGGGAAUCAUAAUGAAGCUUUCAUUAUGGACCAGACAGCCUCAGCCACGAUUAGACACUUUCCAUGUGAAAUGGAUGUUUGAGGUUGGGAAAUGCAGAGACAUGGCGUACUGACACCCUCAGUCGCUGGAUGUUCUGGCAUUGGGCUACCAACCAGUUUCCUAGGUGGCAGGCAUCUGGCAGUGAGCACGGAUAGAUCCCUAAGAUGCAGUAUCAGUAUGAGAGAAAGGAAGGACUUAUCCUUCAUCUCCAGAGAUAGGAUUUUACUAACUGUUGAAAAGGCGGACAACUUCUGAUAGUCCAGACUGUGAAAGGUGGCGUGUUUGAUUAUUGCACCCGUCAUGUGAGCCAUAGAAUUCUACCUCAUUAAACCAGGAUCAGUAGCGUGGAAAUUAUUUUCUUAACAUUUUUAUAUUUACCAAGACUGUUGCAUUGAUCUUGAAAUGCAGACAGGCAGAUAGAAAGAUCAGUUUGGGAUUUUUAAGAUUGAUCACUGAAUCAGUUUAUGCUGAUGUCCACACUUGAUUGUUAUAUCUAGGUUAUACAAUCUGAUUUGGGUUUUCAUCUCUGUAUCAGAAUAUGAUUAUGCACCAGAGUGUUUGUAUUUGUUAAUGCUGUAAUGUUGUUACAUUUUGAUAUUGCACUAUUUAUUGUUAUGUCAAACAAAAAGGGGGAGAUGUAGCAGUCCACCCCUAGCUAUGGGCAAGGGGAACAGUUGGUAUGUACAGAUUGCCUUAGAAGAGAGCAUGCUCAGUCUUGAGCAUGCUCAGUAUUGCACAUGGCUGGGGAAGCUUCUGACCCUUGACCCCAGCUUCUCCCAGGUUAGGCGGGAACACGGGUUUCUUUGUGCUCACCUGAUUAAGAGAAACCACACCUAUACCUUGUCAUUAACCAAUGAGAAUCAUCCCUAUGUACUGUGUAUAUUUGCAUAUCAAAGACUAUAUUUAGCCCAGCAAGCUCCGCCUCUCUCUCUCUUUCAGGCUAGCUGAUGGCUGUCCUGGCAGGCAAGCUCCAUCUUUAAACCUUCUCUAUCUCUCUUUCAUCUCUCCGACCUGUGUGGUAUUAAAUGUGGAUCUCUGGACUGGUAAAAGCCUUUGGUCAAAGCUUGGCUGUGGCUUAUGGAAAAUUAAUAAAGACUCAUUCCUGCCACCUCAUAUCUCUAAUUUGACUCCAUCAUCCCCCUCGUGGCAUCUAAAACUUCUAUCCUGUCUCUGUCUUCCUACCUUAAAGCUUCUCUCCCUUCUGAGGAAGCUUUAGCCUUACUAGUGACAAAAGCUGUCAAUCUAGUAUUGGGAUGUCCAUUAACAAUUAUGUGCCCAUAUGAGGUAGAAGCAUUGUUGCUAAAGCAUAGAACACAGGCAUUCUUGGAUCAGAGAAUUACAAGAUGUGAAAUAACCUUGUUAAAUAGCGAAAACAUUACCUUAAAAUGUUGUACUACUCUUAACCCUGCCACCUUGCUUCCAGACUUACCAGCUUCAGGAGAACCAUUACACAAUUGUGAAACAUUAGUGUCCAUGGCAGAAAAGCCUCGAGAUAAUCUCUUGGACACUCCCUUAGACAAUGCAGAUCUGAUCUUAUUUACCAAUGGUUCCUCUUUUAUGAGGGAUGGCAUAUUCUACACUGGAACUGCCAUAGUCUCAGAAUUUGCCACUGAAUGGUCAGCUUCAUUAUCCCCCUAACAUUAGUGCUCAAGGAGCAGAACUCAUAGCUCUGAAGCAUGCUUGUAUAAUUGCCAAGGAUAAAAAGGCAACAAUUUAUACGGAUUCUAGAUAUGCUUUUGGCAUUUGUCAUUCAGUUGGAAUACUAUGGCUCCAAAGAGGAUUUUUAGCCUCAGCUGGAAAAUCUAUAGCUAAUGCAGAAAUUAUUAAUGAAGUUCUUUCUGCUCUACAACUUAUUGAAGCCCUAGCUAUAGUUCAUUGCUCUGCCCAUACAGGUGGCACUGACCCUGUCUCUAGAGGAAAUGAUCAAGCAGAUGCCGCUGCAAAGCUAGCAGCCAUAGAAGGGCCUGAAUUAAUUUUAACAUUAACAACCACUGAUUAUUUAAAUUUAUCACUUUCUUAUAAUGAAAAGGAAGUGGAAAAGUGGAAACAAAAAUCCAAAGCAAAACAGAUUAAUGUAGUAUGGGUGUCAUCUGAAGGAAAACCCCUGCUCCCUAGAAGUUUCUAUCACAAAAUUUGCCAAUCUAUUCAAAAUUGGUCACUUUGGUACCCAGGGCAUCGUGGACUCUGUUAAGAGAGUAUGGAUAGCCCCUGGUAUAACUACUAUAGCCUCUAAAGUGUGUUCAGCCAGCUCUACAUGUCAAGCAUAUAACCAACAUGCAUUUUGUGGAAAAGCCUUUGGUGGACGUCCUCUGGCUUACACACCUUUUGAACAUCUACAGAUAGAUUUCAUAACAAUGCCAAAGUCUGGUCGUUACAAAUUUUGUCUAGUCAUUGUAGAUCAACUAAGCAGAUGUCUGGAAGCAUUUCCUGUGACCCGAGCCACAGCAGAUUUUGUUGCUAAGAUACUUUUAAAAUAAAUUAUUCCUUGCUUUGGACUGCCAGCACAUAUUGAUUCAGAUAGAGGAAGUCAUUUUACUGAUUCUGUCCUAAAUCAGAUAUAUUCUUGCUUGGGGAUAACUCCCAAAUUCCAUGUUCCAUAUCAUCCCCAGAGCUCAGGCCAAGUUGAAAGGAUGAAUGUAAACCUUAAAAUUUCUUAGACUUAUGAAUGUUGGAAAUUUCCCAAUGGGGAAAUUUCAUACUUGAAAAUUUCCUACUGAUAGUAAGAACUCUAGUGGAAUGUUAAACUCCUUGGCAUGGGAGGAUCCUUCUCCUCCCUACUUAAGACUACUUUAGGACAGAAACCUUUUGCUAAACAAUGGAAAGGGCUUUGACCUAUGCUUAAGCAUAGAACAUGAAGUUCUUUGAGUCAUGAUUGAUUUUAGAAUUGAUACAAUAGAGAUACUUGGAAUGACAGAACCAGGUCUUGGAACUUACAAUCUCCACCCUACUCAGUCUAACAGGAUUUAGGAAGGGCUGCAGAAAAGAUCAAGAUUUAAUUAUUUGAGAAUAUGAACUUCAACAGACAUGUGCAAAUGGGUCAGACGUCUGGGCGGUCCUGGGUUAAGCGAGAGCCACCAUUGGCAUAGGGGAGACAUCGACAGUGAUUGGUAGAUGUGAGAACUGAGGGGAGGGAACUUAGAUUGUGGGCUUAAAGAUAGCGGGGUCUGGGACUCUGGAGGAGGUUUUGCUCAGAGGAGGUUGCUCUGAAGGAGGACUGAGGAGGUUGCUCUGAAGGAGGUCUGAAGGGAGGUUUUGCUCUGAAGGAGGUCUGAGAGGAGAGAGGUCCUGGAGGGAGAGCUCCUGGAGAGGUCUUGAAGGAGGCUGUGGAAGGAGAACUCAGGAGGAGUCAGGAGGAGAAUUCUCUGGAAACAUUUCUAGAAAGGAGGCUCUCUUGAAGGUGGAGCCUGAGGUCUGCAUGAGAAGCCUUACCUAGAGAGAUCUUGGGUGACUGAUAAAACCAACUGACUGAUUUAUUCAUUCUUAUUCCUUUCUUACUUUCUCUCUUUUUCUAUUGAUUAAUCAGUGUAUUAUAAAUUAAAUUUCUCCAUAAAACCCAGUUGGCUUGGGCAUAUUCAUAAAUUGGGAAUAUAUUCCCUGGCGACCAUCUUAUAUUUAUAUAAAACCAAGACACAGUAGAAAACAUAUUUCAGUGGUCAUAAUUGUUAUAUAUUUCCCUUGCUCCCAAACAUUUUAAUUAUCACAGUUUAUGGCUCCCACUCUCUUAUCUAUAACUAUUUAACGCUCAAAACUAUUUUAAAUCUAACAUGAACAAAGAACUUAAAACUAUGAUUGGCAAAUUAUGCACUGAGACCCAUUUAAAAUGGCCUGAAAUUCUCCCUCUGGCCCUAUUUUAUCUUAGAAGCAGGCCUAGAGGAGACCUACACAUCUCACCAUGUGAGAUGCUUUUUGGACAUCCGCCUAUAAAGGCUAAACAUUUUUCCCGGCAUAUACCUCACUAUUAGGGAGAGAUACUACUAUUGUUUCCUAUAUACAGGAAUUACAGCACAAACUGCGUGAACUUCAUGAAUCUGGAACUGCAGUACAAGCUGGACCACUUGACUUUUCUCUUCACGACCUGAACCCAGGAGACAAAGUGUAUAUUAAGAAUUUCAAGUGUACUGGAGCAACUCAGCCUUCAUGGGAAGGACCAUUCCAAAUAUUGCUAACUACUCCAACAUCUAUAAAGGUUGGAGAGAAGGACUCUUGGAUUCAUUGCCCACAUGUGAAGAAAGCAUCUUCUGUUGAGACUGAUUGACUGUACCCUAUCAUAUGCACUGGAGAUAAUAAUCCAUUGACAAGUGAAUGCUGUUUUUCAAAGAAACAUUGAAUUACUGAUUUUUUUCCUUAUUUUUCUUAUUGCUUUUCUUUCUUUUGAUUAGAAUAUUUGAUGUUUUCCUUUUUUCUCAUUUCUUAUACUAAAGGUACAUAUAA